AGCGAACGUUUGCGGCGGGCCUAACACAUGCAAGUCGAACGGGCUAGCAAUAGUCAGUGGCGCACGGGUGCGUAACACGUGGGUAAUCAACCCUUCAGCUCGGGAUAACGCCUUGAAAGGGGCGCUAAUACCGGAUGCGACGCGAGGAGCCUCGGCGCUUCGCGGGAAAGAUUCGCAAGGAUCACUGAAGGACGAGCCUGCGGCCCAUCAGCUAGUUGGUGAGGUAAGAGCUCACCAAGGCGAAGACGGGUAGCUGGUCUGAGAGGAUGAUCAGCCACACUGGAACUGAGACAUGGUCCAGACUCCUACGGGAGGCAGCAGUGGGGAAUAUUGCGCAAUGGGCGAAAGCCUGACGCAGCCACGCCGCGUGAGCGAUGAAGGCCU
Molecule: ribosomal RNA, 384 nt
Filed under: uncultured bacterium
Lineage: Bacteria
Description: bacterial SSU rRNA
Rfam family: Bacterial small subunit ribosomal RNA
Source: RNAcentral